RNAcentral lists this ribosomal RNA (153 nucleotides) under uncultured bacterium. RNAcentral's name for it is "partial 16S ribosomal RNA". It matches the Rfam family "Bacterial small subunit ribosomal RNA", at positions 380 to 525 of the family's 1533-position model. The record is from RNAcentral.
GAGCCGAGCAGCCAUGCCGCGUGUAUGAAGAAGGCCUUCGGGUUGUAAAGUACUUUCAGCGAGGAGGAAGGCAUAUAAGGUUAAUAACCUUAGUGAUUGACGUUACCCGCAGAAGAAGCACCGGCUAACUCCGUGCCAGCAGCCGCGGUAAUA